Molecule: unclassified non-coding RNA, 98 nt
Organism: Otolemur garnettii (small-eared galago)
Lineage: Eukaryota; Metazoa; Chordata; Mammalia; Primates; Galagidae
Rfam family: Y RNA
About the family: Y RNAs are components of the Ro ribonucleoprotein particle (Ro RNP), in association with Ro60 and La proteins. The Y RNAs and Ro60 and La proteins are well conserved, but the function of the Ro RNP is not known. In humans the RNA component can be one of four small RNAs -- hY1, hY3, hY4 and hY5.
Source: Ensembl
GACUGGUCUGAGUGCAGUGGUGUUUACAAAUAAUUGAUCACAGCUAGUUAGAGAUUUGUUCCUUUUCCAAUCCCAUUGCUUCAUUUGACUAGCCUGAA